UUCAGUGAACCUUGCUGACCAGAUGUAUUGCUGGGAGGACAUUGCAUGAGAAGUGUUUUCAGUGAACCUUGCUGACCAGAUGUGUUGCUGGGAGGAUAUUGCAUGAGAAGUGUUUUCAGUGAACCUUGCUGACCAGAUGUGUUGCUGGGAGGACAUUGCCUAAGAAGUGUUUUCAGUGAACCUUGCUGACCAGAUGUAUUGCUGGGAGGACAUUGCCUAAGAAGUGUUUUCAGUGAACCUUGCUGACCAGAUGUAUUGCUGGGAGGACAUUGCCUAAGAAGUGUUUUCAGUGAACCUUGCUGACCAGAUGUAUUGCUGGGAGGACAUUGCCUAAGAAGUGUUUUCAGUGAACCUUGCUGACCAGAUGUAUUGCUGGGAGGACAUUGCCUAAGAAGUGUUUUCAGUGAACCUUGCUGACCAGAUGUAUUGCUGGGAGGACAUUGCCUAAGAAGUGUUUUCAGUGAACCUUGCUGACCAGAUGUAUUGCUGGGAGGACAUUGCAUGAGAGAGUUCAACUUAGAAUCGCCUUCAUGAGCUGACCGUGGUCUGUUUCCUGGCAUAUUUAAAAAUUCAGGGGACAGUUUUCAGCAUUGUAAUUUUGAAUAUGUGUUCCUUAAUGUUUUGUUAUAAUUGUGAUUAAAUUUGUUCAUGGAACA
This is a long non-coding RNA of Haliotis rubra (blacklip abalone), 656 nucleotides long. RefSeq lists it as uncharacterized. The transcript has 2 exons. The record is from RefSeq and is a predicted model, not a curated record. Lineage: Eukaryota; Metazoa; Mollusca; Gastropoda; Lepetellida; Haliotidae.